UCGAGCGAACAGACGAGGAGCUUGCUCCUCUGACGUUAGCGGCGGACGGGUGAGUAACACGUGGAUAACCUACCUAUAAGACUGGGAUAACUUCGGGAAACCGGAGCUAAUACCGGAUAAUAUAUUGAACCGCAUGGUUCAAUAGUGAAAGACGGUUUUGCUGUCACUUAUAGAUGGAUCCGCGCCGCAUUAGCUAGUUGGUAAGGUAACGGCUUACCAAGGCAACGAUGCGUAGCCGACCUGAGAGGGUGAUCGGCCACACUGGAACUGAGACACGGUCCAGACUCCUACGGGAGGCAGCAGUAGGGAAUCUUCCGCAAUGGGCGAAAGCCUGACGGAGCAACGCCGCGUGAGUGAUGAAGGUCUUCGGAUCGUAAAACUCUGUUAUUAGGGAAGAACAAAUGUGUAAGUAACUAUGCACGUCUUGACGGUACCUAAUCAGAAAGCCACGGCUAACUACGUGCCAGCAGCCGCGGUAAUACGUAGGUGGCAAGCGUUAUCCGGAAUUAUUGGGCGUAAAGCGCGCGUAGGCGGUUUUUUAAGUCUGAUGUGAAAGCCCACGGCUCAACCGU
RNAcentral lists this ribosomal RNA (572 nucleotides) under Staphylococcus sp. G3W12(B). RNAcentral's name for it is "bacterial SSU rRNA". It matches the Rfam family "Bacterial small subunit ribosomal RNA", at positions 62 to 616 of the family's 1533-position model. The record is from RNAcentral. Lineage: Bacteria; Bacillati; Bacillota; Bacilli; Caryophanales; Staphylococcaceae.